Molecule: long non-coding RNA, 2021 nt
Organism: Papaver somniferum (opium poppy)
Lineage: Eukaryota; Viridiplantae; Streptophyta; Magnoliopsida; Ranunculales; Papaveraceae
Exons: 11
Source: RefSeq, a predicted model, not a curated record
UUCAUCUGCUCAUUCGAUCCUCCUCAUUUUUACUAUUUUUUUUAUUUCGCAGGUAAAGGUUUAAGCACAAAGGAGUGUUUUUACAAGUGAAGAUAUAUCCAUCUGAACCAUACUUUAAUUAGGGCGAGGGUUAAUCUCUCUGCAACAAUUGAUAGACAAGUUACAAAUGGAACAAUGAGCUUGAGGUCACAUAUGACGCACAAAAUGUGUGUGCCUCGGUUAGCUGUCGAACGGUUAAGUAUAAAGUGUGUGUGCACUACCAAAAUAGAUUUAAGGAGUAUGUUACCACAUGGAUGUAGCAUUCGUGUUGUUAAUAUUUGAUCACAAUCUAGCUUAAGUCUGCCGGCCCUUAAGCAAACAUAACCAUACUCUAAGGCUAAUUCUUUUCAGAAACUGGGUUUGAUCUUUUUUGUGGGUUCUUCUGAUUUCUUUGAGAUGACGUAUUUAAACAGAAUUAAUUGCUGAGAAGGGUAAUAAUUAAGUGCAUGCUUUGGAAGAAUGGGAUUCACAUGAGUGUGGAGAUAAGUUACUUGAUGUGGAGAAAGAAUGAGUAUUUUUUUCAUCAUGAAUUUUCUACUGCGGUUUGCAGUUCUUAAAAUGGUUUGUUGUCCAUUAAAUGCAGCAAGACUGCCUAUCCCCCGAGAUCGUCCCCUCUUUUCUUUUGGUUGGCGUAAUUAGCUUCAUUGUGCUAUGUCCAAGAAUAUUAUUUUCAUAAUUGAGUCUUUAGUUUUUGUAUUCUACUUGAAAAUAUAUUAUUUCCACAUUACGAAUUUGAUUUUAGUCCAUCAUAUGUUUUGGUUUUGCUCAAGAUUUAUCCAUCAGAUGAAAAUUUCUUUAUAAGAUUUCUACUAUUUUGACUUUGUAACUCAUGGGAUCUGUUCCUGUAAUCUUUCUACACAAAAUUUGAGUUCACAGGAUGCAGAAGAAAAAAAAUUUAGAUCGUGUUUGCAACAAUGGGAGUAACUGUGGAAACAACACAAAUCUUCAAAAAGUGAUUUUUAAUGGAUGUAGAGAGUGACCCCUUUCUUAAACUUGUGGAUCAUUUUGGGAAAAAUGCUAGCAUUAGUGCUCGAAAAUGCAUAUAGUUCCAUGCCAGAAAGAAAAAAUAUUCCUAUAACAUGGAGUAGUAAGUCAUAUCCAGUGCGCGGAGAUCCAGAGACAGAUUUGGAAACAAAAAUAAACUGUACACUGAAAUUGUUUGUAGUUAAUGGAGUGGAGGAAAAUUGAGUUAUGAUCUUACUUAUCAUUAGCCUCAAUAUACUCCAGUUACUAAAUUAGGGGUCUUGACAGCAUGCGUGUAAGAUAGGUAAUAUGUAUAGUUGAGGACCUGCUUCCUCUGUUUGGCAAUACACAUUGAACAUAUAGUCACUCUUCAAGCUCAAAGAGAAUUUACUCUCCCAGCAUGCAAUGUAAAGAUAAAUUUCUCCUGCAACUCACAAAAGUACCUCAAAACAUUGAUGUCUGAUUAGAUACCACAAGAUACUUUCAGCAAUGAUCGUGAAAAAACACUAGAGGAAUGCAAUCUGAGAUGACGUAUAUAAUAGUCCCUCGGGUCAUGUCUUCAACACUGUCAUAGAAGAGGGAUCUUACACCAAUUAAAAUCACUGUGCAUCUUUAACUUUCCUCGGUUGGAUCUCUACCGGGUACUGGAUCCAUAGAUGCUGGAUAAGGGCAAUAUGUUGUACACAAUCCAACAAGAAGGAAAGCUCAGCAACAAAUAAAAAGAGGCGUCGUACAAUUACAGUUCUCUUCAAUGUCAUAACAUCAGUUGGUUGGUCCUGGACCUGGAGUAUUCCGAUCUGAAGUUAACUGCGACCUCAAGGAUUAAGAGAACUUGAGUUAGGGUAUUUAUCAGUUUGAAAAAUUAUUCAUGAUUAGUGAAUCUCUACUUAUGCGUCUUUUUAUUCUUCCUUCUAUGUUCUGGAAUGCAUUACAUGAAGAACACACGCUCAAGAAGUAAGUCACUUUGAAAAAAUGAAGUACUACUGUGUGUACACAUAUAUCUCACUAUCGGACACGUG